GCUGUCUGUCUGUCAGUGAAGACUCGAUCUGACACUCUUCUUCUGGAGACUGGACUUUAGAGAAAUGAUGCUGAUCUUUGAACUGAUGCUGCUGCUGCAAACUACUGCAUGUCUGGAUCGGUUCUGCUGGUUUGAUCAGUCUGAUCCCUGUUACGCAGCUCUGGGACACAAACUCAAUCUGCUGACAGUGCUGGACGCUAGAGAAUAUGAGCUGAAGAUAAUAAAGAGAAUAAACUACACACAAGAUGAUCGAGAUUGUAGAGUAAAAUAUGGCAGGAUGAGGGAAUGUGAUCUUUACAAUAACAGACCUGAAGUGACCGUCAUUAAUGGGACUGUGAUAAUAAACCGUUUGAUUGAUUGAUUGAUUGAUGUGUUUGUGUUGUUCAGUGUCUGUGGUGUUUGUGCUGGCCUGGGGUUUCCAGCUGAUGGUUCUGUUGGGUCUGUUAGGAGGUUUUCACAUCUACAUGAGACACACGUCAGGUGAGAGACAUUUAUGAUCAUCAUUAUGGAUUUGACAUGUGAAUAUUAAGAGUGUGAUGAUGAUGAUAAUGUGAUGCUUUUAGGAAAGAAAGAGGAAGAUCAGAAAGUGAGAAUGAGCAGAUUUAGAGAGCAACAUGAACACACAGCUGAAGAUUCAUGAGAGCAGCAGCAGAUCUUCUGUAUUUUAUGUUUUUUAACGUUUUGCUACACUUUUGUAUUUUUUUAUUCAUACGUUAUUUAUGUUAUUAUGGAAUAGUGAUGAACCAUGUUCUUUUAAAAAAUGAAAAUGGAGUCAGCAUUGAAACUGAUAAACUUUGCUAUCAAAGUUAAAUGAAGAUAAAAUGCUUUGAAAUGAAGCUUUAUUUCCAGUCAAAAGCCACAAUCUCAUUAGAUUUUUGUUAAAGCUUAUUUAAUACACUACAUUUUCAUUGUAUUGACCAUAAAGCACAGGUUAAUCAAAGUUAAACACAUAAAAAACUCAAACACAUACAGAAGAGAGAUACAUCUCUGAUACACAUUUAAAUACGGCAUUAACAACUAUAGAUGUUCAGUUCGGUUCCAUGCACACUGCAUAGAAUUUUUGUAAAUGCAGUUGUCACUAGCUGAAUUUUUGGGAGUUCAUUUGUUUGUAGUAAUUUGGUUUCCUUUUUAAUCAUCUGCCUUGCUUAUUACAUAGAACAUUGAAUAAAACAAGGAACAGGAAUAAAAUGAAGAGAUUAAAUAAAAUUAGUUUUG
RNAcentral lists this long non-coding RNA (1215 nucleotides) under Sinocyclocheilus grahami. Its description in RNAcentral is "lncRNA (ENSSGRG00000051257.1)". Lineage: Eukaryota; Metazoa; Chordata; Actinopteri; Cypriniformes; Cyprinidae. The record is from RNAcentral.